GUGCAUGUCAUCCAAGAGCCGCAGCUUCACAGUUGGUAGCUGUGGACUCUCCAACUGCAUGCUAUAGAAUUGGAGAGACUUUGACAACUUUGGAUCUUGUUUAUCCUCUGUUGCCACUCGACUCUCCUACAUUC
This is a small nucleolar RNA of Mobula hypostoma (lesser devil ray), 134 nucleotides long. RefSeq annotates it as small nucleolar RNA SNORA44. NCBI's taxonomy places the organism in Eukaryota, Metazoa, Chordata, Chondrichthyes, Myliobatiformes, Myliobatidae. The transcript has a single exon. The record is from RefSeq and is a predicted model, not a curated record.